GACGAACGCUGGCGGCGUGCUUAACACAUGCAAGUCGAACGGAAAGGCCCUGCUUUUGUGGGGUGCUCGAGUGGCGAACGGGUGAGUAACACGUGAGUAACCUGCCCUUGACUUUGGGAUAACUUCAGGAAACUGGGGCUAAUACCGGAUAGGAGCUCCUGCUGCAUGGUGGGGUUGGAAAGAUUCGGCGGUUGGGGAUGGACUCGCGGCUUAUCAGCUUGUUGGUGGGGUAGUGGCUUACCAAGGCUUUGACGGGUAGCCGGCCUGAGAGGGUGACCGGCCACAUUGGGACUGAGAUACGGCCCAGACUCCUACGGGAGGCAGCAGUGGGGAAUAUUGCACAAUGGGCGGAAGCCUGAUGCAGCAACGCCGCGUGCGGGAUGACGGCCUUCGGGUUGUAAACCGCUUUCGCCUGUGACGAAGCGUGAGUGACGGUAAUGGGUAAAGAAGCACCGGCUAACUACGUG
RNAcentral lists this ribosomal RNA (467 nucleotides) under uncultured bacterium. RNAcentral's name for it is "partial 16S ribosomal RNA". It matches the Rfam family "Bacterial small subunit ribosomal RNA", at positions 28 to 507 of the family's 1533-position model. The record is from RNAcentral.